Molecule: ribosomal RNA, 452 nt
Filed under: uncultured Fluviicola sp.
Lineage: Bacteria; Pseudomonadati; Bacteroidota; Flavobacteriia; Flavobacteriales; Crocinitomicaceae
Description: bacterial SSU rRNA
Rfam family: Bacterial small subunit ribosomal RNA
Source: RNAcentral
CGGGGGGCAGCAGUGAGGAAUAUUGGUCAAUGGGCGCAAGCCUGAACCAGCCAUGCCGCGUGAAGGAUGAAGGUUCUAUGGAUUGUAAACUUCUUUUAUUUGGGAAUAAACCUCUUGACGUGUCGAGAGCUGAAGGUACCAAACGAAUAAGCACCGGCUAACUCCGUGCCAGCAGCCGCGGUAAUACGGAGGGUGCAAGCGUUAUCCGGAAUCAUUGGGUUUAAAGGGUCCGCAGGCGGACUUAUAAGUCAGUGGUGAAAGCCUACAGCUCAACUGUAGAACUGCCAUUGAUACUGUAAGUCUUGAAUUCGGUCGAAGUGGGCGGAAUAUGACAUGUAGCGGUGAAAUGCUUAGAUAUGUCAUAGAACACCGAUAGCGAAGGCAGCUCACUAGGCCUGGAUUGACGCUCAGGGACGAAAGCGUGGGGAGCAAACAGGAUUAGAUACCCGAGU